UAACAUCAAUUUUUACUUAACUUAUACAUGCAAGCAUCCACACCCCAGUGAAGAAACCCAUAGUUUUCCUGCAGAUAACUAUUGGGUUGGUAUCAGGCACAACAAUUGGCCCAAUACACCUAGCACCGCCACACCCCCAAGGGCUACAGCAGUAAUUAACAUUGAACAUUAGCGCAAGCUUGACUCAGUCAAAGUAAUUAAGAGCCGGCAAACUCUGUGCCAGCCGCCGCGGUCAAACCGUUACGGGCCCUAAUUGAUACUCAUCGGCGUAAAGAGUGAUUAAAGCCACUACACAAUAGAAUCAAACUUAAACUAAUAUGUGAAAAUCUUGUUUUCUGGAUCACCAAACACGAAAGUUAUUCUACUACUCCAACUUGAACUCACGAUAACUAGGGUACAAACUGGGACUUGAUACCCCACUAUGCCUAGUCAUAAACUUUAACUUACACCACAUCGCCAGGGAAUUACGAGCUAAACUUAAAACCCAAAGGACUUGACGGUACCCCAAAUCCAUCUAGAGGAGCCUGUCUCAUAAUCGAUAAUCCACGUUAAACCCCACCACUCCUUGCCUACAGCCUGUAUACUUCCGUCGCAAGCCUGCCCCAUGAGUGAAAAUCAGCAGACUCAAUGUUUACCAACAAUACGUCAGGUCAAGGUGCAGCAAAUGGACUGGCGAAGAUGGGCUACACUUUCUAACCUAGAAAAUACGAAAGACUUUAUGAAACCUAGUCAGAAGGCGGAUUUAGUAGUAAAAAGAAAACAGAAUAUUCUUUUUAACCCGGCACUGGGGUGUGUACACACCGCCCGUCACCCUCUUCAAACCACCAACAAUAGUUUAUAACAAACAACCACUUAAAAGAAGAGGCAAGUCGUAACAUGGUA
Molecule: non-coding RNA, 882 nt
Filed under: Brachycephalus brunneus
Lineage: Eukaryota; Metazoa; Chordata; Amphibia; Anura; Brachycephalidae
Description: partial 12S ribosomal RNA
Rfam family: Bacterial small subunit ribosomal RNA
Source: RNAcentral